This 253-nucleotide ribosomal RNA is filed under the name uncultured bacterium. Its description in RNAcentral is "partial 16S ribosomal RNA". It matches the Rfam family "Bacterial small subunit ribosomal RNA", at positions 524 to 776 of the family's 1533-position model. The record is from RNAcentral.
AACGUAGGAGACAAACGUUAUCCGGAGUUACUGGGCGUAAAGGGCGUGUAGGUGGUGCUGUAAGUUCGGCGUGAAAUUUUUCGGCUUAACCGGGAAAGGUCGUCGGAUACUGCAGGACUAGAGGACGGUAGAGGCGUGUGGAAUUCCGGGUGUAGUGGUGAAAUGCGUAGAGAUCCGGAGGAACACCAGUGGCGAAGGCGACACGCUGGGCCGUACCUGACGCUGAGGCGCGAAAGCUAGGGGAGCAAACGGG